This is a long non-coding RNA of Lolium rigidum, 1070 nucleotides long. RefSeq lists it as uncharacterized. The transcript has 5 exons. NCBI's taxonomy places the organism in Eukaryota, Viridiplantae, Streptophyta, Magnoliopsida, Poales, Poaceae. The record is from RefSeq and is a predicted model, not a curated record.
CGACUGCUCCUUUGUCUCGUUCUACUCCCCCCACCCUGCUUCUUGUCGUCUCUGUCCUCGCGUCCCCGAGGUGGAUCCAUGGCGGACAGCGGCGUGGCUUCGCCGCAUCCUCCUCGUCCUGCUGCUGAUGGGGUGUGUGGUGCGUGGAUGGCGUCUCCUCUUCGCCCGGCGGAGGUGGGGGCAGGUCACGCGGGACGCCUCGUCACUCUCGGUCGCUGUCUCGUGGUGGUUUGAGGCUGCAGUCGCCGCCACCGGAGAUGGGGAACGAUGUUGUCCGUGCUCUUCGCCGUGCAUCUGGGAAGAGGUCCGCGCUCUCAAGCGCGCAAGGCAAGUUCGUGGGCGGCGAGAAGGGUGCAGAUAUCACAUAGCACACAGUGGCCACUCGAGUAUGCUGCUCUAUAUUAACAGAUGCAUACCUACAAUGUCCGUCAUCAGCAGAAGAUGAGUAGUUGAAUAAAGUCCUCCCCAGCUUCUUCUUUGCAAAUCUGUUAUUCAUUUCUGAGGCAUUUUACCUGUCUGAUUUUCAUUGUUUAUUGUGGACAUGAAGUGGAUGGAAUGUGCUGUUUUACAAAAGUACUGCUGGGUAUUGUGGUGCUGAGAAUUCCUUUACUAAAGAUAUACUAUGGUAUGAGUCACAAGUACAUGCGGGUUUCCUUUCAUCAACGGUAAUUGUCCCAUGUUUUAUAAGUGGUAGGUCGAACUAUAUUUACUGCCAAACAAACACAAUGCACGGAGUGGAUCAGAUCAAUGGAGGGCACUAUAUAUUUACCUGAAGUUUGCAACCAUGACCUGCAUAUCUGGUCCCGAUUGGGAUAGGUUUAUGUCUGAUUUCAACAUGCAAGGUGGUGAUGUUUUCAUUUUUAAGCUCAGUUCGAAUGCUAAUGAUCAUGGUUAAAAUUACGCCAUGCGAUAAUGUAGGGAGCAGUAAAGGAAUUGAACUUGGUGGUGAUUCAUCAGGAGAUACUGCUGUUGAAACCCCUAUCAUUACUUUCAGCUAGUGUCUGUUUUCUUUCGGAAUGUGUAUUUUGAUUUCUUGUAAUACUUUGUAAUCAGCAGGCAUCUUACUUGAA